Molecule: long non-coding RNA, 471 nt
Filed under: Homo sapiens (human)
Lineage: Eukaryota; Metazoa; Chordata; Mammalia; Primates; Hominidae
Description: HSALNT0329466
Source: RNAcentral
AGGGUCAGCUGUGAACACAGAAAUGAAAGCAAAGACAUGGAAUCAACCUAAGGGCCCAUCAAUGGUAGAGUGGAUAAAGAAAAUGUGGUACAUAUAUACCAUGGAAUACUAUGCAGCCAUAAAAAAAGGAUGAGAUCAUGUCUUCUGCAGGAAUAUGGAGGGAGCUGGAGGCCAUAUCCUCAGCAAACUAAGACUGGAACAGAAAACCAAAUGCUGCACAUUCUCACUUAUAAGUGGGAGCUAAAUGAUGAGAACACAUGGGCACAAAGAGGGGAACAAAAGACACUGGAGCCUACUUGAGGGUGGAGGGUGAGAGGAGAGAGAAGAUCAAGAAAAAUGAAACUACUGGCUACUAGACCUAGUACUCAAGUGACUAAAUAAUCUAUACAACAAACCCCCAUGACAUGAGUUUACCCAUAUAACAAACCUGCCUUGUAUCCCUGAACCUAAUAACAGUUAAAUAAAUAAAUU